RNAcentral lists this non-coding RNA (163 nucleotides) under Crypthecodinium cohnii. Lineage: Eukaryota; Dinophyceae; Gonyaulacales; Crypthecodiniaceae. The record is from RNAcentral.
AUGAGGGGCAGGUCGGAGAGAGGGGCGAUUGAGGCUCUCGCCGAGAAUGUGCCGGACGACAAAUUUUUGACAGCUUUCGGAUCCCCAAAAACGGAGUUGCCGGCGCUGAUCGAGGGGAAGACGGCGAACAUCUCGAGGUUGAUGGAGUUGCAGGCUGCUGGAA